This 367-nucleotide ribosomal RNA is filed under the name uncultured bacterium. Its description in RNAcentral is "bacterial SSU rRNA". It matches the Rfam family "Bacterial small subunit ribosomal RNA", at positions 527 to 896 of the family's 1533-position model. The record is from RNAcentral.
GGAGGGUGCAAGCGUUAUCCGGAUUCACUGGGUUUAAAGGGAGCGUAGGUGGGCAGGUAAGUCAGUGGUGAAAUCUCUGGGCUCAACCCGGAAACUGCCAUUGAUACUAUUUGUCUUGAAUUAUCUGGAGGUAAGCGGAAUAUGUCAUGUAGCGGUGAAAUGCUUAGAUAUGACAUAGAGCACCCAUUGCGAAGGCAGCUUACUACGGAUACGUUGACACUGAGGCACGAAAGCGUGGGGAUCAAACAGGAUUAGAUACCCUGGUAGUCCACGCCCUAAACGAUGGAUACUCGACAUACGCGAUACACUGUGUGUGUCUGAGCGAAAGCAUUAAGUAUCCCACCUGGGAAGUACGAUCGCAAGAUUG